AGCAGCCGCGGUAAUUCCAGCUCCAAUAGCGUAUAUUAAAGUUGUUGCAGUUAAAAGCUCGUAGUUGAAUUUCGGGGUUUAUCCGUUGGUCGGGCUUUUUGGUCUGUACUGGCGUGAUGGAUUCCUACCUUCUGAAUAACCGGCAUGCCAUUAAUUUGGUGCGCCGGGGAAGCAGGACUGUUACCUUGAAAAAAUUAGAGUGCUUAAAGCAGGCUUAUGCCUGAAUACAUUAGCAUGGAAUAAUGAAAUAGGACGGCAUGGUUCUAUUUUGUUGGUUUCUAGGAUCACCGUAAUGAUUAAUAGGGAUAGUUGGGGGCAUUAGUAUUCAAUUGUCAGAGGUGAAAUUCUUGGAUUUAUUGAAGACUAACUUCUGCGAAAGCAUUUGCCAAGGAUGUUUUCAUUAAUCAAGAACGAAAGUUAGGGGAUCGAAGACGAUCAGAUACCGUCGUAGUCUUAACCAUAAACUAUGCCGACUAGGGAUCGGACGAUGUUAAUUUUUUAAUGACUCGUUCGGCGCCUU
RNAcentral lists this ribosomal RNA (520 nucleotides) under uncultured Acaulospora. RNAcentral describes it as "SSU rRNA". It matches the Rfam family "Eukaryotic small subunit ribosomal RNA", at positions 569 to 1089 of the family's 1831-position model. Lineage: Eukaryota; Fungi; Glomeromycota; Glomeromycetes; Diversisporales; Acaulosporaceae. The record is from RNAcentral.